Aromia moschata is the source of this 69-nucleotide non-coding RNA. Lineage: Eukaryota; Metazoa; Arthropoda; Insecta; Coleoptera; Cerambycidae. The record is from the annotation of a GenBank genome assembly.
GUGUUGGUAUAGUGGUUAAUGCAUUCGGCAUUCAAUGCUGAUGCGUGAGUUCGAUACUCACAAGAGGCA